This is a long non-coding RNA of Cyprinus carpio (common carp), 1281 nucleotides long. Lineage: Eukaryota; Metazoa; Chordata; Actinopteri; Cypriniformes; Cyprinidae. The record is from Ensembl.
AACAUAUUAGUCUCAAAAAGGAAAAGAAUGCAAUUUUUAAUCGUUUUUUUAAUGAUCUUGGUAAAGAAACUAAGAAAACACUGAAAUUGAAAAAACAGCUUGCUUUUAUAUGUUUUAGAAAAAAAGAUGGAUUAUUUGACAUGAAUAGAUGGAAAGUUUAUAAAAAAUCAGAUUUACCAAAAGAAGAGCAUACUGAAGAUAAAAUAUUUGAACUGCUUCUAGAAAUGUAUGAUGAAGAUGAGUGUUGUUUUUCAGAAAUAUAUAUAUUUACUACAAAUAGCCCAUGUUUGGCAAGACCCAACCAUGUGCCCUGCAUGAUUCAGGCUGUUGAAAUAGCAAUGAUGUUAUAUAAAAAGCAUGGCAUAAAAACCACUAUUGGAUAUCUUGAACCCUGGGGUUUCAGUGGUUCGUAUGAAAACGUUUUGCCUGAAUGCUCUAUUAAAGAUUGCAGUUAUUAUUUUGAGUCCCAAAUGCUAGGAAGCAAAGAUAUGAUUAAUAACUCACCCCAAACACCAACUAAUAGAAUAGAAAUUGACAUGGAAUUAAUAAGCCCAAUUUACAAACAAAUUAUUCCAGAAGUAGAAAAUCUAAAAUUUUCCGUGAAAGAUAGUAAAAAAACGGAGACCAGAAGAACAGGACCAAAACUUGAUCUUGCACAAUUUUGUUCAAAAAUAUCCAAACCUGAAAUCAAAGAAAAAUUUAUGAAAAACUUAAAUAAAACCAUAUCCGAUUUAUUUAAAAAAGAUUUAGACAAAACUUUUGGUGAUUUCAAAAACCAUGGUUUGGAAGUGUUUGCGAAAUGCAUGAAAAAUAUAAACUAUCUUUUCAUUGAAAUUGACUAUGCAAAUAUUUACGAAGAAAUCCACGAAUAUCUGAAAAACGUUUUCUUUCCUUGGUGGGCUAGAAAAGUGGAAGAUGCAUCCAGCAAGUUCUUAAAAAAGCAAACCAGUUCCUUUCUACAAGAAAGUGCUGUUUUUCAUUCCCUUAGAGACAUAAAAGAAACUGAACAUUUUUUCGAUAUUGGUUAUGUGAUUCUCGAAAAUUGGAAUAUUUAGAAUAAAAUUUGAAUAUUUUGUAAUCUGUUAUAUUUUGUAAUUGUAAACAUUUAAAUAAACAUGCAAAUUUGGCUCCUCUGUUGUUGUUGUUGUGCAGUAUUUCUGUCAUUUAUGAUAUCUUGUGUGUAUAAAUGGGUGUUCAUGGAAAUGUUUUGUCAGUCAAUAGAAGUUUAUUCUGCUUAUAAAGUUCAAUUUUUCUGAGUUUUACUUUCCCAGCUUGCUCAGA